CUAGACAGUCAUCCUAGACCACUCUCUAAAAAAGGACUGGGGAUGUAGCUCAGUGAUCCCUAGUACCUCAAAAGAAAAAAAUCUACAUCUAGCUCUUCAAUGGCUCCUGGCAUGGUCCACAGGGCUCUUUAAGCAUUCGCCAUGUCCUCCAAAUGCUUCCUAUGCUCUUACCAUGAAAAGACACUUGCAGUCUCCUGGCAAACAGUGUUCUCCUAGGCCUCUCUUCUUCGGACCUGCCAUAUGCUCCCUCCUCCUUCCUUCUCUCCAGCCCAAUUGCUUGUCCACUGAGAUUCUAUCACUCUACCUGUUUUCAUGAUCCCACUCCUCUUGCUGCCUCAAGAACUUUGCUUUUAGUCAAGUAUGGUGGCACACACCUGUCAUCUCAGCUGCUCUGUAGACUGGCAGGAGGGGAUGGCAAGUUGGAUCCCAGCCUGGGUAACUUAACGAGAUCCUGUCUCAAAAUAACUUUUUUUAAAAUAAAGAACUGGGGAACAGCUCAGUUGUAAAGCAUCCCUGGGUUCAAUCUUCUCAAUCCCCCAUACAAAAACAGGUUUGGUUGUUUUUUUGUUUGUUUGUUUGUUUGUUUUUGUUUUGGUACCAGGGAUUGAACUCAGGGGCACUAAACCAAUGAGCCACAUAACCAAUCCUAUUUUGUAUUUUAUUUAGAGAUAGGGUUGUACUGAGUUGGUUAGCACCUUGAUUUUGCUGAGGCUGGUUUUGAACUCAUGAUCCUCUUGCCUCAGCCUCCUGAGCCGCCGGGAUUACAGGCAUGUACCACCACUCCCAGCGAAACUUUAUGGUUUUUUAGUUGUCCCCUUCUCUUAUCAUAUCAGGGACUUCCCUGAACAGGAGCUGAGCACACCCCCUUAGCCUUGAGUAAUGGGGGUGUGGAACUGGCAUCGCACUCAGUGCAAAGCAAGUCUGCCUUACCUUCACUUGGCAAGGAAAUGCAGCACUGGGAUUGGGUGUCACCCAGUGGGACUGGGCUAUAGCCCCUCUGUUUGUUGUUAACACAAUCCCUUGCCUUACUUGGGUGGAAUAUUCUAUCAAAAGUCUUUCCCUGAUAAAUAUCGGGGUUUGGGAUGCACUUGUUCUCUUGCUCCUUCCAAUGCUGAAGCUGACCCUUGGGGUCACUGAGCCAUCCUGCCCUUGAUCUCAGAAACUUAUGUUGGUGUGCUGCAUGGUUUCUUCGCUGUUUUCUUAGUUAUUGAUACAGCCAGUUUCUUUGAACCCAGCUCAUCUCGUUAGUCUGGAUAGCUGGUGACCCUCAUCCAUCAUUGCUGUUAAGAUAUAAUAAUUUCUCCUUGAUACUAUAUCCCAUUAGCUUAAGGGUUUUCUAUAUUCUCACUAUUCAGUGGACCAACAUCAUUGGCAUUACUGGGCACUCCAUAUUUUAGAUAUAUAGGAUCUUAAGCCACACCUCCAACCUCCUGGGAAGUUAUAUGCACUUUUUUUUGGGGGGGAGGGUAGGUACCAGGGAUUGAACUCAGGGGCAUUCAACCACUGAGCCGCAUCCCCAGCUCUAUUUUAUAUUUAGAGACAGGGUCUCACUGAGUUGUUUAGCGCCUCGCUUUUUGCUGAGGCUGGUUUUAAACUCACAAUCCUCCUGCCUCAGCCUCCCA
Molecule: long non-coding RNA, 1622 nt
Filed under: Marmota monax (woodchuck)
Lineage: Eukaryota; Metazoa; Chordata; Mammalia; Rodentia; Sciuridae
Source: RNAcentral